GGUUUCGAUCACAGGAAGCUGGUAGGAGGUGCAGCGCCUCGGGGACCAGCCCCGGGAAGAGCUCCUGUACGACCCCCGCCCUCAGGCGCACAGAGGCGGACCCCGCACCCUGGGCACCGCGGCGCCGCCUCCCCGAGGGCCACUCGGCUCCCAGCGGCUCCAGGCGGCCCCAGCACCGAGAGGAGGGCCGGUGACCAGGGGCUGCGGCCCGCGGGGAGGUGGUCUGUGUGGCCCGCGUGAGGCAGCGGUCUCGCGUGCUGAGCCCCAGCCCAGAAAUUUCACCCGAUGUGAAACCCGAGUGCAGGACCCUGAGGAGGAGACCCCGCCGCCUCCCAGCAGGCCAGCCCGGGCAUCCUAGGAAGGGAUCCCGUCUCCCACACAGACCCCGGGCUCCUGUCCUCAGCCGAGCUCCUUACGGGCCGGAGCUGGGGUCAGAGUUCAUUUCUUCCCAAACGGGCGGCUCCAGAAACGCUCCAAACUUUUCUUCCGUUUUCCACUGGCAAGGGACCCAGCAUUUUACUGGGAGCCUAAGGAGGAGAAAGGUCUACCGGGCUUGUCCCUGUGGUGAGGCCUCGCUGCCGGCCCUAAACAGGGAUGAGGGUUUGAAAACCCUCACACAGCCCUAAGAGAGAGUCACGCCGAGUUUCCCCCUGGCCAUCUCCAGUGUCCUUCGUCCCUUCAGCUCUUGUCCCCGACGUUCCCGCUCCCGGGAGCUGCAGGUGCCGCACACACCCAUGAGGGACGGCAGACAGGGGACACACACCGCAAGGGACGGCAGACAGGAAACACACACCCUCGAGGGACAGCAGAGAGGACACACACCCGCGAGGGACGGCGGACAGGACACACACCCGCGAGGGACGGCAGACAGGACACACCCCCACGAGGGUCGGCAGACAGGACACACCCCCACAAGGGACCGCAGACGGGACACACGCCCGCGAGGGACGGCAGACGGGACACACGCCCACGAGGGUCGGCAGACAGGAUACACCCCCACGAGGGUCGGCGGAUAUGACACACACCCGCGAAGGACGGCAGACCGCACGGGCCUGGCGGCGUCCUCGGUCCGCGCCGAGCUUAGGGCUCUAGCGCUCAGGAUGUAGCAUGUCUCAUGUCUCGGAUCCAGGACUCAUCCCCACCAAUUUUAUAUAGAAUAGGGAAGUUCGGGAGAGCUCCAACAGAGGUGUGGGAAACCAUUUUCCUCAUAGCCGCCCGGCUAGCUCAGUCGGUAGAGCAUGAGACCCUUAAUCUCAGGGUCGUGGGUUCGAGCCCCACGUUGGGCGUGAGAUUUUGUCGGAUGGAUUAGACUUGCAACUUGGAAGAAAGUAAACUAAAUAAGAAAACGUGGAAGUGACUCCGUAUACCUUGCAAAUCGGGAAUUGUUGGUCAGGCAAACGCAAAACGCUCCACCAACCAACUGGCUUCAGGAUCCCCUUUGUCUUGUUUCAUAAAAAAAAGAGGCCGAGCGUCGUGGUUCAUGCCUAUAAUCCUCUCACUUUGACCCUAGGAGUUUGAGACCAGCCUAGGCAACAUGGUGAGACCCCCGGCCCUUAAAAAAAAUACAAAUUUUCGCCAGGCUUGGUGGUGUGCGCCUGUAGUCCCAGCUAUUCCAGAGACUGAGGCAGGAGAAUCACUUGAACCCGGGAGGUAGAGGUUACAGUAAGCCGAGACUGUGCCAGUGCACUCCAGCCUGGACAACACAGUAAGACUCCGUCUCAAAAUAAUAAUAAAAAGAAAUUGGCCGGGCGUGGUGGCUCACGCCUGUAAUCCCAGCACUUUGGGAGGUCGAGGCGGGCGGAUCACGAGGUCAAGAGAUCGAGACCAUCCUGGCUAACAUGGUGAAACCCCGUCUCUACUAAAAAAGAGAAAAAAUUAGCCGGGCAUGGUGGUGGGCGCCUGUAGUCCCAGCUACUAGGGAGGCUGAGACAGGAGAAUAGCGUGAACCCGGAAGGCAGAGCUUGCAGUGAGCCGAGAUCGUGCCACUGCACUCCAGCCUGAGCAACAGAGUGAGACUACGUCUCAAAAAAAAAAGAAAAAAAAAAAAGAAAUAAAAAUUAUGUAUGUAUAAAAUUUGCAUACACGUUCCAUAUUCAGUAAACUGAGCAUUUGGGACCCUCUCUGCAUAAUAUUUGCCUUAAGAGGAAUUCUCCUUCUAUUUCACCCCAGUUUAACACUGGCAAAAAUUCUUAUAAUUGCACGCUACAGCACACCAGGGACUCUCACCUACCAUCAGGGACGUGGUCCUCAUUGCCAGCCAGCCAGCCAGCCAGCCAGCCAGCCAGCAGGGGAGUCAAAUUUAGAAUUUCACCCUUAUAAUCUGGUUCUAGGCUAGGUACCAUGACUCAGGCCUGUAAUCCCAGCAUUUAGGGAGGCCAAGGCAGGAACAUCACUUGAGCCCAGGAAUUUGCGGGUGCAGUGACCCAUGAUCGUGCCACUGCAGCCUGGGCAACACAGUGAGACCCUAUCUCCAAAAACCAGAACAAGUAUUUAUACCUCUCUAAUAACUGUCAUAUUAAAUAUUCUGUGAAAAUAGCUAAUGGGAGGUGUGGUGGCUCAUGCCUAUAAGAACAGCACUUUGGGAGGCCAAGGUGGGAAUAUUGCUUGAGCCCAGGAGUUUCAGACCAGCCUGGGCAACAUAGCAAGACCCCGUCUCUACAAAAAAUAAGUAGCAUGUGCCUGCAGUACAAGCUACUCAGGAGGCUGAUUGGGGAGGAUCACUUGAACCUGGGAGGUCGAGGCUGCAGUGAGCAGUGAUCACACCACUGCACUCCAGCCUGGGUGACUGAGUGAGACCCUGUCUCAAAAAAACAAAAAAACAAAAACAAAAACAAAAAAAACAUAGCUGAUGGUUUCCUGACUGCUACCUGGACAUUGGUUUGGUAACAAAUUUUGGCUUCAAUGCAGUGCUGAGGUCCUUACCAAUGGAACGUGAGAUGACAUAAUUCACAGUAUACAACAGCAUCGUGAUCAGGCAAUGCGUGGCCUGGUUGAUUAUGAGGAGUUGCAGGCUGAAGCAAGUGCCCUGGGUGACCAGUGGCUGCUGUGCCUGAUUGUUGCAGCACAGGUGACCACACAGACUUUCGUUAGUUCAUGGCGUGGAAAGAAGUCUUCUGAAGGCCCUGGUUUGCUUACAGAAAGAAGAUGACAAGAUCAGGUCUCUAAACUUUUAGACUAAGUCAAGUUCAGAGACGCAGGGACAAUUUAUGGCAACCAUACAAUAACCUUAAAGCCACAAGGCUGACAUUGCUAAAAAUCAAACAUGUCAUUUAACUAGGCAUGUUGCAGAAUGGCAACGUAAAUUGAAUUCACAGCCUUAGGAAAUCUUUGGUGUGAAAGAUACUGCAUUGAUUAGGCAGAAGUGGUGACAUCAGAUUGGACUCAAAAUUGAGAAUCUUGAACUACAAAGGUUGACCUUGGAGAAAACAGCCUACAUGACAAAACAAAACAGAAACAAAACAAGUUUGGCUACUUUAAGCCAUCAUAAGGAGGAUGGGAUAUGAUUUUGUAUCUGGUGAAUUUAUCCAUCUGGGUGCAUAUCCCAAAGAGCCUAUAGUUAAUAUGUUAUCUCAUGCAGCUGACCAUGGCCCUACCAGGUUUCUUGGUUGGUUGGCUGAAAAUUGAACUCAGUGGUGGCCUAUGUUUAAUGAGACCGGGCUGCCAGAACGUCUCAGGCAAACUGUAGAGAAAGAAACCUAAAGACACCAAGCAAUGUUGGAGUGCAUCUUUCACGCAUGAUGUGCAUACCACUGAGAAGACCAGAGGACACUCCCUUUCUUUCUUUCUUUCUUUUUCUCUUUUCUCUUUUUUUUGAGACGGAGUCUUACUCUGUCGCCCAGGCUGGAGUGCAGUGGCACGACCUCAGCUCACUGCAACCUCUGCCUCCCGGGUUCAAGCGAUUCUUCUGCCUCAGCCUCCCAAGUAGCUGGGACUACAGGCGAGCGCCACCACACCCGGCUAAUUUUUGUAUUUUUAGUAGAGAUGGGGUGUCACCAUAUUGGCCUGGCUGCUCUAGAACUCCUGACCUCGUGAUCCGCCUGCCUCGGCCUCCCAAAGUGCUGGGAUUACAGGUGUGAGCUACCGCACCAGGCCAGGACACUCCCUUUCACAAGGCCUCCCGAAAAAAUCCAUCACUGAAGCAUCAGCUUCCUUAAGUAGCUCUCUGGUGGCCAUUCUCUACAGGUGGCCUAUGAUGGUGGAAGGUAAUGCCAUUGAGGUGUGGAAGGUAACGCCACUGAGGUGUGGAAGGUAACCCCAUUGAGGUGUGGAAGGUAACCCCAUUGAGGUGAGGAAGGUAAUGCCAUUGAGGUGAGGAAGGUAAUGCCAUUGAGAUGUGGAAGGUAACCCCAUUGAGGUGAGGAAGGUAACCCCAUUGAGGUGUGGAAGGUAAUGCCAUUGAGGUGAGGAAGGUAACCCCAUUGAGGUGAGGAAGGUAACGCCAUUGAGGUGAGGAAGGUAAUGCCAUUGAGGUGAGGUCCCUGAUUUCAGUGGAGAUGAUGGGGUCCAGGAUGUUUGGGGAACUGGGAGAAGCCAGGCCAGAGCUGGAAAAACAGAAGAGUCCCAAUUAUGAGUUUUAUUUAUUUAUUUAUUUAUUUUGAGACGGAGUCUCUGUCACCCAGGCUGGAGUGCAGUGGCGCGAUCUCCGCUCACUGCAACCUCCACCUCCCGGGUUCAAGUGAUUCUCCUGCCUCAGUCUCCUGAGGAGCUGGGAUUACAGGCGCGUGCCCCCACGCCCGGCUAAUUUUUCUAUUUUUAGUAGAGACGGGGUUUCACCGUGUUGGUCAGGCUGGUGCGUGAUCGUGAUCCGCCCGCCUCGGCCUCCCAAAGUGCUGGGAUUACAGGCGGGAGCCACUGCGCCCGGGCCAAUUAUUGGUUUUAAAGGCAAAAGCCAACCAUGUUUUUAUACAUAUUUAUGACAAAACUCCAGCAGUGGUCCCCAUCAGAGCGGCUUCUGAUUUUACUUUACACCAUGUCCUGUAGUUCGGGAAAUUUUUACCUUGAAGAUGGCAUCAUAUAUUGCAUGGAUUUAAAAAAAGAAUACUAUGGACUAUUUCAAAUAUGUAUUAAAAGAGAGAAAAUAGUGCAAUGUCCCCUCAUGUCCCCCAUUAUCUACUCAUGGAUAAGUAGUUUCAUCUAUACCGCCAUCCAUCUUAUGAUUUCUUUUUUUUUUUUUUUGAAACGGAGAUUACAGGCUGGGAUUACAAGUUUAAGCCAGCGCACCUGGCCUCAGUUUUAUGAUUUUUAAAACAAACCAGUUGUCUUGUAAUUUAAUCUGUAAAUAAUUGUGUUUAUAAAAAAAAGGAUUUAAAAAAUAUUUGUAACCAUAAUAGAAUUAACAAACCUGGAAAAAUAAACAAUCAUUCCUUUCUAUCAAGUUAAAUGGAUGGUACUUAACAUCCUGUAAAAGAUUCGGCUCCUUUUUUCUGUAACGUGAAAUUGUGCUCGUCUUCCUUGAAAACAGGUAGAGGUUUCUGAUUUAGAGCCUUUUUGGUAACCCUUCGGAAACUCCGCACCUCCACUGGAGUAUACCGCAUUCUAACUCUUCUGCCCGAUAAGGAACACUAAAAUUCGGCCUUUCUUUACCCCGGGUGGGACUCGAACCCACAAUCCCUGGCUUAGGAGGCCAAUGCCUUAUCCAUUAGGCCACCGGGGCGGAUAACAAAACGCUGUCGCUUGUCUUAGACCAGUUUCUCCAUCACUCCGCGGUGGUUCCUGCACAGCCUGCCCGUCCUACCCUGGCCUUUCUCCCGCCCCUCCACUGCAAUCCAAGCUUCGGUUCAGAUCUCGUCCGCUCCUGAGCAUCCUCGGGACCCCAAAGAGACGGCGCACGUGCAGAGGGACCUGAAAGACACCGAACGUCAGAUUUUUGGCUCCGCUCUUUGGUCUAGGGGUAUGAUCUUCGCUUAGGGUGCGAGAGGUGCCUGGAUCAACUCCUUCACAAGCCGUCGUCUCCACUCAGGAGACAACCCAAGUCUAGGGGUAAUUAGUAGCGAAUGAUGCACUUGCGAUGGGUAGAGUGUAUGGGAAGGGGCACGCGAUGCCAGCUCAGCAACUGGCUCCUCAUCCCGAGCCCGCCGCUUCUGGAAGUGUCGGUCUUCGUCCUCCUCCCCCGCAUUGUCCGUUAGACCAAGGGUGCCGCCCAGUGGUCGGAAGCCUCUUAAUAAUGACCCUCCAAAAUCCGCCCUCUACAUCCCCAGCUGGCUAGGUGUUAAUCUCAGGAUCGCCACGUUGGGUGUUUACUUUCCUGCCCCAACACGUGUGUUAUUUUCCUUUUUUAAAAAAUCUGUAUUUUAAUGACGUUCUUUUCCUUUAAUACCUAGUAAACGCUUCAGUCCAGGAGUUCGAGACCAUCAUGGGCAAAAUAGUGAGCGCCCCGU
Molecule: long non-coding RNA, 6377 nt
Filed under: Homo sapiens (human)
Lineage: Eukaryota; Metazoa; Chordata; Mammalia; Primates; Hominidae
Description: non-protein coding lnc-ZSCAN10-4:3
Rfam family: tRNA (bases 1214-1286)
Source: RNAcentral